AGCUCAGUCGGCAGAGCAUAGGACUCUUAAUCCUAGGGUAGUGGGUUUGAGCCCAAU
Molecule: transfer RNA, 57 nt
Filed under: Pelecanus crispus (Dalmatian pelican)
Lineage: Eukaryota; Metazoa; Chordata; Aves; Pelecaniformes; Pelecanidae
Rfam family: tRNA
About the family: Transfer RNA (tRNA) molecules are approximately 80 nucleotides in length.
Source: Rfam by way of RNAcentral